UACGGGGGGGGCAAGCGUUGUUCGGAAUUACUGGGCGUAAAGGGCUCGUAGGCGGCCAACUAAGUCGGAUGUGAAAUCCCCAGGCUUAACCUGGGAACUGCAUCCGAUACUGGAUGGCUUGAAUCCGGGAGAGGGAUGCGGAAUUCCAGGUGUAGCGGUGAAAUGCGUAGAUAUCUGGAGGAACACCUGAGGUGAAGACGGGUUGCUGGGCCAACACUGACGCUGAGGCGCGAAAGCCAGGGGAGCAAACGGG
RNAcentral lists this ribosomal RNA (253 nucleotides) under uncultured bacterium. RNAcentral's name for it is "partial 16S ribosomal RNA". It matches the Rfam family "Bacterial small subunit ribosomal RNA", at positions 524 to 776 of the family's 1533-position model. The record is from RNAcentral.